GCCAGCCCGCUCAGAAACUCAAGGAAUUGAGGGGCCCGCACAAGCGGUGGAGCAUGUGGUUAAUUCGAAGCAACGCGAAGAACUUACCAGGCCUUGACAUGCAGAGAACUUUCCAGAGAUGGAUUGGUGCCUUCGGGAACUCUGACACAGGUGCUGCAUGGCUGUCGUCAGCUCGUGUCGUGAGAUGUUGGGUUAAGUCCCGCAACGGGCGCAACCCUUGCCUUUAGUUGCCAGCAGUUCGGCUGGGCACUCUAAAGGGACUGCCGGUGUUAAACCGGAGGAAGGUGGGGAUGACGUCAAGUCCUCAUGGCCUUUAUGACCAGGGCUACACACGUACUACAAUGGCCGAUACAAAGGGCAGCGACACUGCGAGGUGAAGCCAAUCCCGUAAAAUCGGUCUCAGUCCGGAUUGGAGUCUGCAACUCGACUCCAUGAAGUUGGAAUCGCUAGUAAUCGUGAAUCAGAAUGUCACGGUGAAUACGUUCCCGGGCCUU
Molecule: ribosomal RNA, 494 nt
Filed under: uncultured Desulfobulbus sp.
Lineage: Bacteria; Pseudomonadati; Thermodesulfobacteriota; Desulfobulbia; Desulfobulbales; Desulfobulbaceae
Description: bacterial SSU rRNA
Rfam family: Bacterial small subunit ribosomal RNA
Source: RNAcentral